GCCUCGGUAGCUCAGUGGAUAGAGCGAUCCCCUCCUAAGGGAUAGGUCGGACGUUCGAUUCGUCUCCGGGGCACCA
This 76-nucleotide transfer RNA is filed under the name Gallionellales bacterium 24-53-125. Its description in RNAcentral is "tRNA-Arg". It matches the Rfam family "tRNA". From Rfam's summary of the family: Transfer RNA (tRNA) molecules are approximately 80 nucleotides in length. Their secondary structure includes four short double-helical elements and three loops (D, anti-codon, and T loops). RNAcentral also lists the same sequence under 3 other names. The record is from RNAcentral. Lineage: Bacteria; Pseudomonadati; Pseudomonadota; Betaproteobacteria; Nitrosomonadales.